Long non-coding RNA from Diabrotica virgifera virgifera (western corn rootworm), 751 nucleotides. RefSeq lists it as uncharacterized. NCBI's taxonomy places the organism in Eukaryota, Metazoa, Arthropoda, Insecta, Coleoptera, Chrysomelidae. The record is from RefSeq and is a predicted model, not a curated record. The transcript is spliced from 3 exons.
CGAGGCAUUUAUAUUUAUUUCUUUUGCGUUCAUUUUCAAAUUCGCCGUGCAUAUAUUUUUGUGCAUGGCGCUUGAGAGGGAAUCACGUGACUAAAAACGACCAACCAACGACCUCGCUUCGGCCAUCUUGGCAUCUUCAUCUUGGCGACCUUGCCGUUGCCCGGCCUUGCCUUGCCGUGGAUUGUUGUUUGUAUUUUGUAUUAUUUGUGCUUUUUAAGAAUAUUUUUUUAAUUCGGAUACUUUUAUAAUAGCUUUAAUAGUAUUAUUAACAUAGUGCAUAAAAUGGUGUCCUGUUUUUAACGCAGUUGGAGUAGCAGAAACAAAUGUAGAUAAAAAAAUCUGCAGGAAUAACGUUUCAAUUAUGACAGAAGCUCAAAACAAAUGACUGUGAAUGAAAAGCCCUAUUAAAAGCUUUCCAGAAGAUCCUGCGAAGAAGACAAGAAAGUAUAGAUUAGAUUUGUUAAUAGAGGAGUAUGUUCAAAACACUUUUUAGAAAAAGAUAUUGACAGAACUUCACUUUCAUCUGUUCGUUUGAGAGACUGUGCUGUUCCAAUAGCUUAUGUCACACAGAAUCAGCUGAGAGAAGUGGUCUACAAAAAACCAGAAAGGAAACGGAAUAUGUGGCUACGAAAAGCAAAAGAAAGGUUUACAAAGCAAAUGUGACACAUUUUUUAAUAAUAUUUAGGAAUGUCAGCAAAUUACAUUAAAAAAUGUAUGUAAAGAUUUUUUGCAAUAAAAAUGUUUAUAUUUA